GGGGCCGUAGCUCAGUUUGGUUAGAGCGCUGCACUGUCACUGCAGAGGUCGCGGGUUCAAGUCCCGUCGGCCCCGCCA
This 78-nucleotide transfer RNA is filed under the name candidate division WWE3 bacterium RIFOXYD1_FULL_39_9. RNAcentral's name for it is "tRNA-Asp". It matches the Rfam family "tRNA". Rfam says of the family: Transfer RNA (tRNA) molecules are approximately 80 nucleotides in length. Their secondary structure includes four short double-helical elements and three loops (D, anti-codon, and T loops). Lineage: Bacteria; candidate division WWE3. The record is from RNAcentral.